GCUCCAGUGAUCUAGUGGUUAGAGCAUCCGCCUCGGAUGCGAGAGAUCGUGGGUUCGAUCCCCGGUUGAGUCA
Molecule: non-coding RNA, 73 nt
Organism: Potamilus streckersoni
Lineage: Eukaryota; Metazoa; Mollusca; Bivalvia; Unionida; Unionidae
Source: the annotation of a GenBank genome assembly